CCAUCUCCAGUGGUGGGAGCAGCAGCCGAUCCUGCCGUGUCACUGGUCGCGUGUGUGUGUUUGUGUCACUGCAAGUCGAUAAAUUUCCCCCCGCAGAGCACGAAGAGGGGAGAAGAGAAGAAAAAAGGGAAUCGAUCCAAUCCAUCAUCCAUGAUCGAUUCAUCCCUUCCCUUCGCUUCCCGCAGCUCUCUACAUCUCUUCUCUUUUCCUUUUCGCAGGAAUAGCGGCAGGGGCUGCCGCGCAGCUGUUUGAUAAAAGAAAAGGAGAGGCAAAAGAAAGCGAGAGAGCAGAGCCUCAGGCCCAAUUAUUCCGAUCCCUCCUCAUCUCUUUCCUCCGAAAGCUUGAUUUCCGCCCCCCAGAUCCUCCCUCCCUUCUCUCCCUUUUUGUCCCUCCCCCCUCGACCCUUUCUUCCCCGCUCCAAUGGGAUUCGCUCACCGCCAUCGGAACCCAAGCUUGCCUCCGAUCUUCUUCUUACAAG
Molecule: long non-coding RNA, 478 nt
Filed under: Phoenix dactylifera (date palm)
Lineage: Eukaryota; Viridiplantae; Streptophyta; Magnoliopsida; Arecales; Arecaceae
Description: long non-coding RNA (PDAC_LNC016958)
Source: RNAcentral